AGACACAUAAACGCAGACAGACACGCACACUGGUGCGCACCGGGUUCGGUUUCUUUUCUUUUUGUGUGUGUGUUGUUGUUGUAUGUUCGACUGGAUCUGCUCCCAGUGCAAGCAUAUGCACGAAUACGAACGCCGACAGCUGCACACGCUUGACGCGGCGUCUUAAGAGCAGCAGCACUUCUCUCUGUAACCCUGGUUUCCGCUCAUGUUUUUCUGUCGUAUGCUCUGUUUUGCACACACACACACACACACACACACGUGCGCGCAGGGACACACUGUUAAUUGGAAAGGCUACUUAACCGAACUCCUUUCCGUCCACCCACCACGACCACUCCUGAUGUCGUCUUUUUAUUCCGACUUUUCGGUGAUAUGAGGGGGCGGCGAGAAAAGGAGAGAGCUCAUGACGCGGUGAGCAGAGUUGUGAGCAAGAGGGGUAGAAGGCGAGGAUGAUCUGUGCGUGGUGUGUCUGUGUUUCCAUGCUUAAAGCUCUCGAAAUAUCUUCCUAGUCCGCUCCCCCUCCCCAUCACUCCUUCCCCACACAUACCUUUUCUUGCCUUCCCGGCCAUGUAG
RNAcentral lists this unclassified non-coding RNA (570 nucleotides) under Leishmania donovani. Its description in RNAcentral is "gene:unknown". Lineage: Eukaryota; Euglenozoa; Kinetoplastea; Trypanosomatida; Trypanosomatidae. The record is from RNAcentral.